Molecule: ribosomal RNA, 465 nt
Filed under: uncultured Klebsiella sp.
Lineage: Bacteria; Pseudomonadati; Pseudomonadota; Gammaproteobacteria; Enterobacterales; Enterobacteriaceae
Description: bacterial SSU rRNA
Rfam family: Bacterial small subunit ribosomal RNA
Source: RNAcentral
CCUACGGGUGGCUGCAGUGGGGAAUAUUGCACAAUGGGCGCAAGCCUGAUGCAGCCAUGCCGCGUGUGUGAAGAAGGCCUUCGGGUUGUAAAGCACUUUCAGCGGGGAGGAAGGCGUUGAGGUUAAUAACCUCAUCGAUUGACGUUACCCGCAGAAGAAGCACCGGCUAACUCCGUGCCAGCAGCCGCGGUAAUACGGAGGGUGCAAGCGUUAAUCGGAAUUACUGGGCGUAAAGCGCACGCAGGCGGUCUGUCAAGUCGGAUGUGAAAUCCCCGGGCUCAACCUGGGAACUGCAUUCGAAACUGGGAGGCUAGAGUCUUGUAGAGGGGGGUAGAAUUCCAGGUGUAGCGGUGAAAUGCGUAGAGAUCUGGAGGAAUACCGGUGGCGAAGGCGGCCCCCUGGACAAAGACUGACGCUCAGGUGCGAAAGCGUGGGGAGCAAACAGGAUUAGAUACCCGGGUAGUC